This 498-nucleotide ribosomal RNA is filed under the name uncultured bacterium. Its description in RNAcentral is "partial 16S ribosomal RNA". It matches the Rfam family "Bacterial small subunit ribosomal RNA", at positions 28 to 523 of the family's 1533-position model. The record is from RNAcentral.
GACGAACGCUGGCGGCGUGCCUAAUACAUGCAAGUCGAGCGGUCCCUUCGGGGAUAGCGGCGGACGGGUGAGUAACACGUAGGCAACCUGCCUGUAAGACCGGAAUACCUAUCGGAAACGAUAGCUAAGACCGGAUAGCUGGUUUUCCCGCAUGAGAGAAUCAUGAAACACGGGGCAACUUGUGGCUGACAGAUGGGCCUGCGGUGCAUUAGCUAGUUGGUAGGGUAACGGCCUACCAAGGCGACGAUGCGUAGCCGACCUGAGAGGGUGGCCGGCAACACUGGGACUGAGACACGGCCCAGACUCCUACGGGAGGCAGCAGUAGGGAAUCUUCCGCAAUGGACGCAAGUCUGACGGAGCAACGCCGCGUGAGUGAUGAAGGUCUUCGGAUCGUAAAGCUCUGUUGCCCUAGACGAACAGGAAGGAGAGUAACUGCUCGUUGUGUGACGGUAUAGGAGAAGAAAGCCCAGGCUAACUACGUGCCAGCCGCCGCUGUAA